UUUAUGGAGAGUUUGAUCCUGGCUCAGGAUGAACGCUGGCGGCGUGCCUAAUACAUGCAAGUCGAGCGAACGGACGAGAAGCUUGCUUCUCUGAUGUUAGCGGCGGACGGGUGAGUAACACGUGGAUAACCUACCUAUAAGACUGGGAUAACUUCGGGAAACCG
Molecule: ribosomal RNA, 164 nt
Filed under: Staphylococcus aureus
Lineage: Bacteria; Bacillati; Bacillota; Bacilli; Caryophanales; Staphylococcaceae
Also listed under: 4 other names
Description: partial 16S ribosomal RNA
Rfam family: Bacterial small subunit ribosomal RNA
Source: RNAcentral